RNAcentral lists this ribosomal RNA (254 nucleotides) under uncultured bacterium. RNAcentral's name for it is "partial 16S ribosomal RNA". It matches the Rfam family "Bacterial small subunit ribosomal RNA", at positions 524 to 776 of the family's 1533-position model. The record is from RNAcentral.
UACAGAGGGGGCAAGCGUUGUUCGGAAUUACUGGGCGUAAAGGGCGCGUAGGCGGCCUUCUACGUCGAACGUGAAAUCCCUGGGCUCAACCCAGGAACUGCGUCCGAUACUGGAAGGCUUGAAUCCGGGAGAGGGAUGCGGAAUUCCAGGUGUAGCGGUGAAAUGCGUAGAUAUCGGGAGGAACACCUGUGGCGAAAGCGGCUCACUGGACCACAACGUGACGCUGAGGCGCGAAAGCUAGGGGAGCAAACAGG